RNAcentral lists this ribosomal RNA (262 nucleotides) under uncultured bacterium. RNAcentral's name for it is "partial 16S ribosomal RNA". It matches the Rfam family "Bacterial small subunit ribosomal RNA", at positions 524 to 777 of the family's 1533-position model. The record is from RNAcentral.
UACGUAGGGGGCAAGCGUUGUCCGGAUUUAUUGGGCGUAAAGAGCUCGUAGGCGGCUUGUCGCGUCGUGUGUGAAAUCUCAGGGCUCAACUCUGACAUUGCAUACGAUACGGGCAGGCUUGAGUUCGGUAGGGGAGACUGGAAUUCCUGGUGGUAGCGGUGAAAUGCGCAGAGUAUCAGGAGGAACACCGGUGGCGAAGGCGGGAUCUCCUGGGCCGAAGUGACUGACGCUGGAGGAGCGAAAGCAUGGGGAGCGAACAGGA